AAGUCGUAACAAGGUUUCCGUAGGUGAACCUGCGGAAGGAUCAUUAAUGAAAUAACUAUGGCGUUGGUUGUAGCUGGCUCCUAGGAGCAUGUGCACACCCGUCAUUCUUAUCUUUCCACCUGUGCACUUAAUGUAGGUCUGGAUAACUCUCGCUCAUACCGAGCGGAUGCAGGGAUUGCCGUGUUGAAAGACCGGCUCUCUUUGAAUUUCCAGGUCUAUGUACCUUUACAAACUCCAAUUGUAUGAUAAUGAAUGUAGUCAAUGGGCUUUCAAGCCUAUAAAACAAAAUACAACUUUCAGCAACGGAUCUCUUGGCUCUC
Molecule: unclassified non-coding RNA, 320 nt
Filed under: Psathyrella piluliformis
Lineage: Eukaryota; Fungi; Basidiomycota; Agaricomycetes; Agaricales; Psathyrellaceae
Description: partial internal transcribed spacer region
Rfam family: Eukaryotic small subunit ribosomal RNA (bases 1-46)
Source: RNAcentral